Mustela putorius furo (domestic ferret) is the source of this 330-nucleotide unclassified non-coding RNA. Its record names the gene 7SK. It matches the Rfam family "7SK RNA". Rfam says of the family: 7SK was discovered as an abundant small nuclear RNA in the mid-70s but a possible function has only recently been suggested. Two independent studies have found that 7SK RNA binds the CDK9/cyclin T complex (known as elongation factor P-TEFb). The record is from Ensembl. Lineage: Eukaryota; Metazoa; Chordata; Mammalia; Carnivora; Mustelidae.
AGAUGUGAGGGCCAUGUGCCUGAAACACCAGUCACCCCGUAGACAGCCAGGAUUGAUUCAGCUGAUCUGGCUGCUAGGCGGGUAUCCCCCUAGUGAGUGGGGAACCUCACCACUCCAUGUGUGUCCCUCCCAAAGCUGUGCUCUCAGAGGACAACCUUCCCAAUAGGGGAAGACUAUUCUUUGGUCAAGGGUAUAUGAAUAGCUGUGCUUCCCUGCUAGUCUUCAAGCAAACUCUCAAGGUCCAUUUGCGGGAGAUUGUAGGGUAGCCAAGCAUCCAAGAAUCCAGACAUAUCCAAGUGAGGUGCUGCAUGUGGUAGUCUGCCUUUCUUU